CCCACACCUGGGCGUAGGUGGAUGUUCGACCAGAGAAGAGAAAGAAGGGGGAAACCCCUUCUCAAACCCUAAUCGACCAAAUUGAUGGAUUCUGGCUGAAAUCGAACUUGCAUGAACAAGAUUCUUGAUUGUUGAACUCUGUAAAACACAUGGAAUCCCAAUUGACAUGGACUCAAGAAUGGAAGGCUAACGGAUCAAGGGUAAAUAAAGAAGCUAUGCACAACUCGGACACACGAUGUAAGUGAUUCCAAUUCACUUCUUAGUAUGUACGUAGUAUUUAAUAUUUAUGUGUAGAAAAAUAUGCAAGAAUCCUGUAAUGAAUGAGAAGUAUUGAGGUAAGUAUUAUUUUAGUAUAACAAAGGAGUUGUUUAUAAUGAAAGUAAACUAGUAGGAUUAGACGGGUCAAAUAAUGUAUAAAGGGGUUUAUAAGCCGUUUGCUUAUAAAUCAGAUUUUGAUGCUACCCGAAGUGAUAAACGGAUCCGUAAUUAAAUUACGGGCGCGUAGGAAAAAGAAUCGGGUAAAACGGAUCAAAAAUGAGAGAGUUAUGUUCGUUUCGGUAAGAAUUAAUGGUUGGGAAAAGUGCAGAGCUGACACGACCGGGUGAAGGUUUUGUGAAAAAUAUAUGGUUAGUUGACACGGUCGGGUGGUUAACCUGACCCGGCCGGGUGAAGGGGCUGAAAAUAAAAAAAAAUAUAUGUAAGUAGAAAGUGGUUGCUAUGAAUGCACGUAAAAAUUAGGAAUGUAUACGUUUGUGAAUGCGAAUGUUAUAAAUGUAUAAAGGAAUGGUACGGAAUGGUUUCAUUAUGUUCGAGCAUUAAUGAUUGCUAAUGGUGUGUUUGAGAUUGAAAUGCAUUGCAGGUAUAUGAACACCGGGUUCUUGAAGUAUCGAAGUCGAACUCUGAAUAAGAAAAUAUGAGAGGAUAGUUAAAUAAAUCAAAGUUUCAUUGUUAAAUGUUAUUCACUAUUAGAUUAUAUGAGAAUCAUGUUGUAUAACGUUGUCAAUGACUAAUGGUUAAGUUGUAUGUGAUGUUCACAGGUAUUGCAUGUAUCUCUACCACUACUAUCGAAGAUAAGCAUGCAUUGAUCGAGCCCCAAAUUAAAGAUUGUACGGGAAGAACGGCCACAUAGUCCGAUUUAUGUAUUGUCUUGAAGCGUUACUUUAAUGUGGUUAUUGUUAAUCCCUUUUUUGUAAAUGUUUAUCAUUUGUAUUUGAGCUUUUAAAUAAGUAAUGGGUCUAAAUAAGAAAGAAAAUUUUUGG
Molecule: long non-coding RNA, 1259 nt
Filed under: Helianthus annuus (common sunflower)
Lineage: Eukaryota; Viridiplantae; Streptophyta; Magnoliopsida; Asterales; Asteraceae
Description: hypothetical non coding rna
Source: RNAcentral